This 1216-nucleotide long non-coding RNA is filed under the name Brassica rapa (field mustard). RNAcentral's name for it is "long non-coding RNA (BRAP_LNC001561)". The record is from RNAcentral. Lineage: Eukaryota; Viridiplantae; Streptophyta; Magnoliopsida; Brassicales; Brassicaceae.
UUUUCUACACAUUUAAAAUACUUCAAUAUACUAGAGAAAAAGGGAAAUCAUAUGGAUGAAAAAACUAAACUUUUGGCAUAUCUUUUAAUUAACGGGUGUUUAAGAUGGUUUCUAAUGGAACUAUCUAUACCGGAUUCAGAUACGGGGUAUCCGAAGAUAUUGUGCCACGACUUUUCAUGUGAGUACUAAUUGUAAUUUUGUAACGUUGCUAGUUUCCUAUUACAUGACACUGAGGUUCACGCGUAUGGCUUAGUAGACCUAAAGGUGUCUUAAAUACCUUGUUCUCAGGAGAUAUGCUUUGAUAUGUCCCAUUCUGAACUCUGAAGUACCAUGUGCGUAAGGUUUGUUAGUUUCUUUUGCUCUUGGUAGACUUUGAAGUCUACUUAUACAAUGAUUAUGCGGGAGAUGUGUCCUCGCAUAGUUCCUUACGGAUCUGAAAACCACGUGUUGUACCAUACCAAUAUUGUAGCAACCGCAUAUGACUACUCUUAUUAAAAACAAGAAAAAAGAUUUCAAAAUAGAUACAUCGACUCACAAGGAGCUGUACAUGAAUGAUGUCUGGCUAUAACUUUAGGUGCGGUAACUUACAAGUCAAACGUCGGAAGCAACACAUGUAUUACAAGGUUCAAUAACUCUAGUUACUCGAACUUACACGGCGGCGAAUCUACAACAAUCGGUGGCGUUAGGGUUUAUAGAGUCGGAUUGUGUGCGGCUUGGACACCCUGCCAUGAAAAUCUUGGAAACUGGAUAGAGAGUCACCGGUGUUCACACGGAGGAGGAAGCAUCUUCCUUUGCCUUCUUUCCCUUGCCUAUGUCUCCUCCUGCUGUUUGUUUUGUUGUGAUGAUUUUUAGUAGCUAAGUAUGUAACCUUGCCUACGGUUUAUUCACGAUUCCGGCGUCUGUAACAUUCUCCGAUAUGCCCCAUUUUUAGGGGUUGAUUUUAAUAUAUUUUAUUAUUAAAAAAAAAAAUAUAACUCUAGUUACAAGUGUAGACAAAAUUUAAAUAAAGCAAACCAUCUACGAAAUUGAAGUCUCUCUUUUUCUCUUUGCAAAUUCACACGGGGUUUAUAGAGUUUUUCUUGGGUUCACCCCCUAGGGUGAACCUAUAGGUUCAUCAUCCAAUUAUAAGCUCAACAGAGGAAUAGGGUUACGACGGCGUUAACAACGUUUUCCUUUUUUUGUUUUUUUUUUAGCGUUAAAAACUAAUUAAUUUUUC